Molecule: non-coding RNA, 5220 nt
Organism: Xyrichtys novacula (pearly razorfish)
Lineage: Eukaryota; Metazoa; Chordata; Actinopteri; Labriformes; Labridae
Source: the annotation of a GenBank genome assembly
ACUGACUAUCAGUAACUGUUGCAUGAUAGAGAUGUUAUCCCGAUCAAGGGCUUGUUGAAGUGACCAGAGAUACCAAUAGAUUGAACAGAAAAACUACUCAAAUGGCCAAUUCAAUUUGUUCAGGAUCUUGUUCCUCCUCCUGAAAACCCUUGGUUCCUUGAUUGGCACCAUACCCCAUCCUCUAAGAAUCAUUCUGCAAAAAGAGAUCAGAGGUUAUUUGAGGCAUAAAGUGAAGUUGCACUUGGUUCACAUUACUUUUUUGAGGACUCCUGCUCCUUCCUACUGGAGGCUGUCCUACUACGGGUCCAGUUACAUGACAGUGAAGGCAUCUGUCAGUCAUGACUUACUAUAAGUAUGGGAAAUAUGCCUUGAAUGUGCAUGCCAGGUAUCCUUUUACAGUCUCACUCUGUCACUAAGGCUUUGACCUGUGUCAGAUAUACACUUUCUGUUAAGUCAUAAAUUGUAUUACAAUUCUGGAUACAUUGAUGAAUACAUUUAUCUUAAAGGAUGUAUGUUGAGAGAUUUGACCCUCCCAACAUCUGAGUAUAACAAGGGGACUACUUUUGUUGGCAUUGGGCAGGGCUGUUCAUCAUAUUUUAACAUGUACAAAUAGUGAACUGUCAUCUUCAUAACUUACAUAAUUCACAGACGCACUAGGUAGGUUUACAUGAGGAGACACUGAACCUAGGAGCUGCAAGAGGGUGUAACAAUAAGCUUGCUUCUUCAUUUUUUACUUGAACAGUUUCUUAAGUCAUAGAGUAAACUUUUUGUUUUUCUUUUUUAAGCUUACUAAGAUUCAGAGGAAACUGAUGAGCCACCUAAAUCUACACCUUUGUCAUGUAGUCUUGAUUCCAUAGAAAACUAUCAAUGGUUAUGUUAUUCAUUAGAUACUCUCGUACAACAUCUUAUUUCCUUCUGUUUCUAUUUUUGUUAUUUUUUAUACUUUCCUAUCAUUCUGAUACUUAUUAGUUUUUUUUUUCUUUUCUCUUAUUAAAACUGUUGUCCAUAGAAAAUCCAUCGUCAGAGCACUCAGCCAAAUUUAUAAAAAGGUUCAUCGUAAUAGAACCCCAGCUUCACUUGCACCCACUCCCUGGCUGACAUCUAAACUACAAACAUGAUUGGAACGAUGUCUAACUGUGGAACAGUUUCAAGCAUUUCAUUGAUCACUUUUCAUCCUUUUCUUGGUAGAUCUAGCUUCGAUUUUUCUUUGUAUUUAUUUAUUUAGCUAUUUUUAUUUUUAUUUUUAUUUUUUUACCACGUGGCUUUCUGAAUUUACUGGUUUGUGACCUCAGUGCGAGGAUUAUUACUUGCAGUUAGUAAAUUUAUGGUUAUGUGUGAGUAUGCAAAGCGUCAAAAGGUUCGUGUGGUUCAUCGAUCUGUACUUUAGGUCAAAUUCCAUCUUUAAAAAAUACAUCCUGAAGAAUUGAGACUGGUAUGGGUCGAUAUUAUGCAAUACGUAGAUACAUAAUCACACUACAACUGGCACUGAAUAAAUCGGGGCCGUCAAGCGGUCAGUCCGUUCAAACAGAGACAGAAGUACCUGUUAAUGACUGAAUCGGGGCCGUCGUGCGGUCAGUCCGUCAGACUAUUAAACAGUAACAACAAUAACACAACCGCGUCGUCCAACGACGUCUUCAUAUAAAAAACCAGUAGUACCAAUUCCAUAUUUCUCAACAUGUCCUCCAAGGACACCCUAAUAUUGAUUAAUAUCGACACAUCUCAGCACGCAAAUUCAGGGAACUAUUAAUGUUGUAUUAAAUUAAAUACAUUAUCCAUUCAGACUAUCAACAGUUAAGAAGCCAAUUGUACCAGGGCUACUAGGCAUCCCAUAGCAGAGGUAUCUUUUUUAAUGCUCAAAUCAGGUAAGCACUACAAUCACCAGUGGAUUGAAUAAUUAAAGAUGCUUACCUUUUUGGUGAUUAAUCCUGUUCGUGACGCCAAAUUGUAAGGAUGCCUAGCCCAGGUUCACAUUAGAAAGAAUCGAAGGUCCACACGAAUGGUCAUUUUGACAAGCUUUACUGAUUACAUAUCUGGGUUACAGCUUCAGCAGGCCACAAGUGUGACCAACAGUGGUCCUCUACAAGUGUAACAAAGAGUGACCACCCCAAGUGUAGCAAAAAGCGGUCCACCCCCAAGUGUGGCCAACAUGAGUGUAGCCAAGAGUGGUCCAAGACCAUUCAAGUAUAUAUAGCGAUUCACAAUCCUAAACAUACUGUUGGUAUUUAGUUGACCCUAAGAGAAAACCAUGUAUGGUAAAAACAAAGGACAACAUAUUUCAAAAGCCUUAGAUGAACAUGUGGAAGGUCCCAAGAAGGAAAUAUCAUGGCAAACAUAUUUUGGGGACCUACAUGGUGUAAAUAAUGUGUACAGGGUUCCUUGCUCAGGGAUGGUUGUAGGAGGCCCCCGGCUCCAGCAAUCUAACACCAAAGUGUCUGGGGUAUUUGAGUGACACAGCUCCACCACUCUAAAGGCUGACAUGACUGGCUAAAGAAACUCAUCCUAACACGAAUGUACUGUACUUCACCCAAAAUAAGCAUUAGAAGCCUGACAGAGCAAUGUCAGCACCAAGCAACCAUGCGACUUUACCUUAAGCCAUUAAGUUGUACUCUUUGUACCAUUAAACACUGGCCUCUGCCUGCUUCUUUCUUAAAAUUCCCAUAAAUGCUUACAAAAAGUGUAGGAGCACAAAGCACAUUGAAUCAUCUAGUGUCGCAAUGAAUAAAUCCAUCAACAUGUCAAACAUUUUACCAGAAACUUUGAAAAUGCAAAAAUGUCUGAGAUUAAUUUCUUGUCAUUAACCUGUUUUUUUUUUUUGUCCAAUCACAAUGUCAAAAAAAAAAAAAAAAGACAAAUAUCAGGUGUAAAGCCGCGUUCAGACCAAACGCAACGUCGGUGACAUGAGCAACGACUCCCAAUGCAAAGUCUAUGGACAACCGCGACCUGAUGCGACUUGCCGACCGCCGGCUGCCGGCGAUGCGACGUCAGCGACCUACGCGACCAGGUCGCGCAUGGUCGCUGACGUUGCGUCGCCCGAGGUUGCAGGACGCCAAGUCGCGACGCUCCCAAAGUUUAAAUAUUUGAACUUUGGGAGCGACUCCAUGCCGUGACAGCCAAUCAGGGCUCUGCUGACGUCAACAAACCGGCAAAGCAAGGAGGAGGAGAAGAGGAAUCACAAUGAAGGAGCAGCUUAUCACUGCCGUGAGUUAUCACCCGGUCCUGUACGACAUGGGGUGCGCGUGCUACCAGGACCGCACCUCCAAGGAGGAGGCAUGGUUGAAGGUGGCCCAUGAUGUCGGGCUUUCUGGUAAGUUUGUUUGUUUAUUUAUUUCAGUGAACAGACUAUUUUCUGAAAACAUAGCAAACUUCCCCUGCUUGCUAGGCUACAUGUUUCAAUGUGUGUGUGUUUGUCUUUGCAGUGGAUGUGUGCUGCAAGCGCUGGAAGGGGCUGCUGGAUGUAUGAGGGAGAAAAGGAUGGAGAAGGAAGGUGGGAGAAGCGGGUCAGCGGCAACCAGAAGCGGGUCAGCAGCGAUCAGAAGCGGGUCAGCGGCGACCAGCCGCGUCCUGCGACCUCCGUGACUGCAGCUUUGGACCCGGUGUGAACACACCAGGGCGCAACGCGACGGGAAUACAAUGACCAACGCGACUAGGUCGCUUCAGGUUGUGUUUGGUCUGAACGCGGCUUAAGUCUACAAGGAAUACUGUCUUUCUAAAGUGAGGAUCCUCAUGUCAUUCCUUUACUUUUAAUGGCAAAGGAAGGGUAUUGGACCUAUGACAUGAAAUCGAUACUGUGGUAGUCAAGCUGUCGUGUUUUACAGUCAUGUCAAAGAUUAAAAUCACUUGUCCUCUAAUGUAGUUCUCCUUGAAGUUUUGAUUUAAUUUAAAUUUAAAUCUUUUUUUGUUUCCCUCUCAACCCCUGUCUGUUCCUUAAUUCAGUGCUGUCUUAUUUUCAAUGACUGCAAUUAAGUUUUUAAGUUGGUACACAGAUGGCAGACAGAUAGUGUAUGUACGCUUCAGUGACAUUUUUUUAACCUUAACAUCAGUGUGAUCAGUAUUUUACCAAUAGUCUUGGUAGAUAAGUACCAUGAGCAUACUAAAAAGAAUAAGUAUAAAUUUAGGGCUAUCUUAUCACCUUUUGCAUUAUUUUUAUCCUGUUAUGCUCCCUCAGGUUCAACCUGGGGUCUGUUGCAUAAAAGUAGGAUUCAGAUAUCCAGGAUAAGUGACUGAGCUGAGCUCAACGAAUCCAAAACAAGAGUGUCCAGGCUUAUUCGGUUGCAUAAACGGUAAUACAGGAUGAGAAGAAACGGAUUCAUCGAGCCAGCACCUGGCUCCUUAAAUAGACCCCCACGAUCGAUCACAGAUUCACCUAUUCACCAUGACAACCAGGGCCGCAUACUUCUCCCCGUCCGAGCAGGAUAUACUUAUGGAAGCGUAUGAAGAGAUAAAAGAUCAGAUUUAAAAAAAAGGAAACACUGCCACGCUUUUUCUCGCUGUUUUAUGGCAGUGGCGAAGUAUUGCAGACCACCUGAAUGCAUAAGUGUUGCACAAAUACACACUAACUACUCCUCUGAAACGUCACAAUUGCAAUCCAAAUAGUUAAUUAACAUCUCGAAAAAAAUAGUUGUAGCCUACUCUGAUGAUGAAACAGUUGAAAUUGCAAGUGAAGAUGACUGCAGAGAGAAAGUAUGUAAAUCCAUGUUUGCUCCUCAUGCUCCUCUUCUGUUUCAUUCUUCAUUAAAGCUGUCAAAAUUAGUGACUUCAUUUGAGUAAAUUAAUUUGUGGAAUCAACUGAGUAGAAUUUCUAAUCAUAAUUAUUUUUUUGACCUAUUAGUGCAACAAAUCCAUAAAAUUACAACAAAAAAAAAAAAAAAAUCCCGCAAAAGAAAAAGACAGCCCUAAUGAGUAACAUUUAUACGAACAUAAUUAAAAUAACAGUGUCACUGCUGUUUUUGUGACUGUAAACUGAGGACAGAAUGAUAAAAGCCUUCAUAAUUUUUUACUUUUGGACUUUGACAAAUUAAAAAUUAACAAAUUGAAUGAAAAUUUGUUAGAGCCACCAACGCCAGAUGAUGAUCCAGUGAGUACUCCAUCAAAGGCAUACUGCAGGCCUGGCAUGUCUAGUCUACUAGCUUUAAUGUGAAUCCCAUUACAUGUGAUAGGAUGAAGGCACCAGUGGAGCCGGAGGAGGAGGAGCAGCAGCAGCAGCAGCAGCAGCAGCAGCAG